AGAGUUUGAUCCUGGCUCAGAACGAACGCUGGCGGCAGGCCUAACACAUGCAAGUCGAGCGCUACCUUCGGGUGGAGCGGCGGACGGGUUAGUAACGCGUGGGAACAUACCCCUUUCUACGGAAUAGCCUUUGGAAACGAAGAGUAAUACCGUAUACGCCCUUUGGGGGAAAGAUUUAUCGGAGAAGGAUCGGCCCGCGUUAGAUUAGAUAGUUGGUGGGGUAAUGGCCUACCAAGUCUACGAUCUAUAGCUGGUUUUAGAGGAUGAUCAGCAACACUGGGACUGAGACACGGCCCAGACUCCUACGGGAGGCAGCAGUGGGGAAUCUUAGACAAUGGGCGCAAGCCUGAUCUAGCCAUGCCGCGUGAGUGAAGAAGGCCUUAGGGUCGUAAAGCUCUUUCGCCUGUGAUGAUAAUGACAGUAGCAGGUAAAGAAACCCCGGCUAACUCCGUGCCAGCAGCCGCGGUAAUACGGAGGGGGUUAGCGUUGUUCGGAAUUACUGGGCGUAAAGCGCACGUAGGCGGAUUGGAAAGUUAGAGGUGAAAUCCCAGGGCUCAACCCUGGAACUGCCUUUAAAACUCCCAGUCUUGAGUUCGAGAGAGGUGAGUGGAAUUCCAAGUGUAGAGGUGAAAUUCGUAGAUAUUUGGAGGAACACCAGUGGCGAAGGCGGCUCACUGGCUCGAUACUGACGCUGAGGUGCGAAAGUGUGGGGAGCAAACAGGAUUAG
This 727-nucleotide ribosomal RNA is filed under the name uncultured bacterium. RNAcentral's name for it is "bacterial SSU rRNA". It matches the Rfam family "Bacterial small subunit ribosomal RNA", at positions 8 to 781 of the family's 1533-position model. The record is from RNAcentral.